Molecule: ribosomal RNA, 460 nt
Filed under: uncultured bacterium
Lineage: Bacteria
Description: partial 16S ribosomal RNA
Rfam family: Bacterial small subunit ribosomal RNA
Source: RNAcentral
CCUACGGGUGGCAGCAGUGAGGAAUAUUGGUCAAUGGACGAGAGCCUGAACCAGCCAAGUAGCGUGAAGGAUGACUGCCCUCUGGGUUGUAAACUUCUUUUAUAUGGGAAUAAAGUGUUUCACGUAUUGGACUUUGUAUGUACCAUAUGAACAAUGAUCGGCUAACUCCGUGCCAGCAGCCGCGGUAAUACGGAGGAUCCGAGCGUUAUCCGGAUUUAUUGGGCUUAAAGGGAGCGUAGGUGGUUUGUUAAGUCAAGUGUGAAAGUUUGCGGCUAAACCGUAAAAUUGCAGUUGAAACUGGCAGUCUUGAGUGUAGUAGAGGUGGGCGGAAUUCGUGGUGUAGCGGUGAAAUGCUUAGAUAUCACGAAGAACGCCGAUUGCGAAGGCAGCUAACUGGACUGCAACUGACACUGAGGCGCGAAAGUGUGGGUAUCAAACAGGAUUAGAUACCCGGGUAGUC